GCCCGGAUGGCGGAAUUGGUAGACGCGCUGGACUCAAAAUCCAGUGAUAGCAAUAUCGUGCGGGUUCGAUUCCCGCUCCGGGUA
Molecule: transfer RNA, 84 nt
Filed under: Flavobacteriaceae bacterium
Lineage: Bacteria; Pseudomonadati; Bacteroidota; Flavobacteriia; Flavobacteriales; Flavobacteriaceae
Description: tRNA-Leu
Rfam family: tRNA
About the family: Transfer RNA (tRNA) molecules are approximately 80 nucleotides in length. Their secondary structure includes four short double-helical elements and three loops (D, anti-codon, and T loops).
Source: RNAcentral